This is a long non-coding RNA of Carya illinoinensis, 799 nucleotides long. RefSeq lists it as uncharacterized. The record is from RefSeq and is a predicted model, not a curated record. The transcript is spliced from 2 exons. Lineage: Eukaryota; Viridiplantae; Streptophyta; Magnoliopsida; Fagales; Juglandaceae.
ACUAAGUCCUUAUCUUUUCUUCAACCCAUCGGUCUUAAGCUAAGAGUAGGUGAAGUAAUCAUUCCUUUUAUAUCCUUAUCCAAGAUGUCCCUUUUUUCUAACUUCCAGUGGAAGUUUUGACUAAGUGUAAAGUCCUUAUCUCCUUGGAAUCCGUCGAUCACCAUAAGCCAAUGAAAACUUUUUCUUCUCUUCUCCUCCAAAGCCGACGCCUUCUUCUUGUUCUUCCUCUCUUCUUCUUCUUUCAUCUUCCAACUCAAGGAAAACCAAAGUUUCUCUCCAUUAUUCAAGCCAUGCGACCUCCAAGGGAAAGAAAGAUUUUUUUUUUUUUUCCCUCCCCCAGAUCGUGCCAUACACUUCUCUUCCAUACCAAUUUUGGGUUUGUUCAUAGCUUGGAGUUUAAAGUUUGUUUCAUCUUCCAAGAGGUGAAGAAAUUGAAGGUACAAAUGAAGCGGCUAAAAAGCUGGGUACUAUUCAGGAAGGAGGGGCAGACGUUUAGCAGUCCCUUGGUAGUUUGGUCUUUUUGGUGAUGUCAUAUGUUUUUUUUUUAUGUUUUGAGAAUGGAUGCCAUAUGGGGAUGGUUAAUUGUGUUAACUUUUAGACAAGAUACCUUUAGGUACAAUAUAUAUUUUAUGAUAGGGUGAUGGUAAGAGUGUAACUUCUAUGAUGGGGUGAUAGAAACCCCCCAUACUUUAAGUUAGCUUUCUUUUGUAAGGACUGUAGGGACUGAGUCCCUUUUUGUUUAAAACUAGUUAUAUUGGAUGAAUGGAUGAUGGACUCUAAGAGUCCUUUAUAAGUGAAA